Long non-coding RNA from Balaenoptera musculus (blue whale), 642 nucleotides. RefSeq lists it as uncharacterized. NCBI's taxonomy places the organism in Eukaryota, Metazoa, Chordata, Mammalia, Artiodactyla, Balaenopteridae. The transcript has 3 exons. The record is from RefSeq and is a predicted model, not a curated record.
GAUUACUGGGAGCCAAAGGGCGGACCACCAAGACGCAGAUCACGCAGGCGCAGACCCAGCGCCCCGCGCCGGAGGUCCCAGCGUGCCCCGGGAGGACGACCGGCGGCGGCGCGCACGCGCAGAGGCGAACUCGGGCGACCUGACGUCAUCGGAGCGCGCCGACGUUCCCUGGGCGGUGCCGCGGCCUCGGCCCGCGCGGCCCCGCCUCACCGAACCCGCCCCCGACAGGACCCGCCCCCCAGGUCCGCGGAGCGGGGGUGACCCCGGCCCAGAGGACCCCUCGCCCCACGCUGGCGAGCGCGCGUAUCCCCGGGCUGCGUGGCCUCAGUGGCGUCCGGCGUGCGUCCACGCGCGGCCCGACCAAGACCGGCGCCGAGCCCGAAGCAGCAGGCCCGUCUGUACUCCCAGGACAUAAGGCAGAUCCGACCUGGAUGGGAACCGCGCCUUCCGAAACCACAUCAUGUUCCGGGAGCGCUACGGCAUCAAGUCCAACACUAGCGACACUGUCCUGUCCUGUGUCCUGCGUUCACCACACACUUGACCAGCACAGGUGUUUUACAGAGAACCCAAGAUGUCUGGCCUCACCCCGUCCCUAGGUUCUCAGUAUGCAUUUUAAAAACAGGGAUUCUUGGGCUUCCCUGG